GUCGUGAGAGGUUGGGUUAAGUCCCGCAACGAGCGCAACCUCCGUUCUUAGUUACCAGCGCGUAAUGGCGGGGACUCUAGGAAGACUGCCGGUGCCAAACCGGAGGAAGGUGGGGACGACGUCAAGUCAUCAUGGUCCUUACGUCUAGGGCUACACACGUGCUACAAUGGGUCGGACAGUGGGGGCCGAGGCAGCAAUGCCAAGGCAAUCCCAAAACCGAUCCUCAGUUCGGAUUGUCGUCUGCAACUCGACGGCAUGAAGCUGGAAUCGCUAGUAAUCGUGGAUCAGCAUCGCCACGGUGAAUACGUUCCCGGGCCUUGUACACACCGCCCGUCACGCCAUGGAAGCUGCGAGCGCCCGAAGUCGGUGCCGCGGGCCUAAGCGGGCCAAGCCGAGCGUAGUGACUGGAGUGACGUGGGCGAAGUCGUAACAAGGGAGCCGUAGGGGAACCUGCGGCUGGUUCACCUCCUGAACGGAGAGAACCGAGUAGACCUGGUGACACCACUGGUAACACAAGUCGAAAGAUUUCGAUGAUCUCGCUUCUCUCGCAUCAUCAACAUUGUUUACCUCGCGUUUCUAUCGAGCUCGUCAGGUUUGGAAGCCUUCCGAGCGCUUUUGGGCAUUCGGGUGUGAGCCAAGAAAUCGCACUCGUCGGAGCAGCGCUGUUUGCCAUCGUAAGGUAGUAGUGAUCGUGGGAUUCGAUGCUCGUGAAACCCGCCCAGGGUUUCAUAGAGCGUCAUCAAGAAUCAACACAGAUUCAAUUUCGUCGCGCUUCGCAUCGGUAUAACAACCAGUGUGAGGCGAGCAGACUGAUUGAUUCAUUCGUUAGAUUGCGCGUUGUUUUGUUGUUUUGCUUUGUGAGACAGAGAUCUGAUCAAGCGAAAGAAGGUAUGUGGGGGAUGCCUGGGCACGCGGAGGCGAUGAAGGCCGUGGUAAGCUGCGAUAAGCCAGGGGGAGCGGCACACACGCAUUGAUCCCUGGAUGG
This 985-nucleotide small RNA is filed under the name uncultured Gemmatimonas sp. Its description in RNAcentral is "bacterial SSU rRNA". The stretch from base 1 to 472 matches the Rfam family "Bacterial small subunit ribosomal RNA", at positions 1064 to 1533 of the family's 1533-position model. The record is from RNAcentral. Lineage: Bacteria; Pseudomonadati; Gemmatimonadota; Gemmatimonadia; Gemmatimonadales; Gemmatimonadaceae.